Molecule: long non-coding RNA, 2322 nt
Organism: Patella vulgata (common limpet)
Lineage: Eukaryota; Metazoa; Mollusca; Gastropoda; Patellidae
Exons: 8
Source: RefSeq, a predicted model, not a curated record
CUUGACCGCGCCAAAGUGUCAUGGCCCCCGGCUGUUUGAUGUCGCUUGUUUCGCUAACUGAUUUGUGUCAAUUCAUCGGCCUAACGGGAAUGUUAUAAAUAUAAUUAUAUGAAAAGGACAAGAUGGAUAUCGGGCAUUAUAUUGUGAUGCAUGGUAAUGUAUGACAUUGUUAUAUAAAUGUGUUUCGGGCGUGAACUCUACAAGGGAGCUGGUCUCAUUUUUUGACACUCUCAGUCGGAAACGACGUACGAAAGACUGGAAUCGCCUGGACCGUAACAUUGCCCCCUUCCUCAGAGAAGUUCGUCCCGAACGCUAAAACGGUUAUCCAACACACACUGACUCUGACGUGAUUGACUUUGCCAAUGUUAUCUUCCAUGUGAUGACUGGAAAUAAGGAAAGAACAACUCACUUCUGCAGUGGUAAACGUGGAUAUUAUUGUCACAAGAUUAAUUUUUAUUUUAAUACAGAUUUCGACACGGAUGACAAUGAUGAUGAUGAAGAUGAUGAUGACGACGAUGACGAUAUUGAUGAUAAAAGUAGAUCUUGGAUUAUGGAAACUGGUGUCUUCGUCUUCUCUGGUGAAAUUGGUGAUUUCUCUGACAACACUGGUGUUUUUUCUGACGAAAUUGGUUUUUUCUGUAAAGGAACCGAUGUCUUGUCUGAUGCAGCUGAUAUCUUCUGUACGGUAUCGGGUAUCUUCUUUAAUGUAAUUUUUGGUAUUGUAGGAACUGGUAAUUUAACUUUAGGAUGAAUAUAAUUUUUAUUUGACUGAAUAGGUGGGGCAGGCGGGUCAAUCGAUAGUUUCAGGUGCUUCAUCCCAUUGUAUGGUUUUUCUGGUAUCGUACGCUUUCGAAACGGGGCUUGUGGAUGCUUAUCUGUAGGUAAAGAUUGUCGUGUAAUUAUUAAUGCACUUCUCCUUCCACAGAAAGCUUUAUAUUCAUCCUCGUCGUUUUGAUUGAAGGUCAUGGUUGCUUUAUUGAUCAGUUUCAUCCUGGCAGUUCCAGGACAUUUUGGAUGUUUUACGUCCGCUCUCGCGGCCAGUCCAAAACAGUGCGUGCACUGAUAGCCAAAGUUACUAUGACAUGAAGUGACAUGCCUCUCCGCAUACUGAUAUUUGGCGAAUUCUGCGUUCAUACAUAGUUUACACCCAUAAAAAAAAAAUAAAAAUAAAGAGUUGAUAAUUUAUGACAUCUUUAACCAAUUGGGUAUAUUAUUUCCCGUAUACGGUUUCAGAUGAUUAUGGUGGACCACUUUAGGUUGGGUCUUUGGGGAUUUUUGUAUUUUAUAGACUACAUUAUUAAGACAUUUUGUCACCAGGUAGAGUCCCUCCCAUGGACACCUUAACUUUGAACCUCCACCUUUGUAUUUGUGGUUAUAAUACCAUACAGGACUGCCGGCAUUGUAUGGAUUUAAUUGAAUAGAUCUAUCGUGAUCAACUUUCAUGUUUGCCGUGGCUUGUUUUAAACGCCCUCUAGCAAAACUAUGUAUUCGUUCUAUUUUAUUUUGUAAGUCAAAAGCAUAGUCUGACUUUAUUUUUAAAUUUGUAGGUUCCACUGAUCCGAGAAUGAGAUCUACUGGAAGACGGAUGUUGCGGCUGAAGACCAUUUCACAUGGAGAAACGCCCAGUGAUUCGUGUUCUGCAGAACGAUACGCUGACAUGAGAAGGGAAGAGGAAGAUAAUGGAUUUUUGUUUAAUCGGUCUAUUGGAGCACUUGUGCAAGCCAAAACAUUAAGGUUUUCAUUGGAGGUUUGCUUGUUGGAGCCUCUGGAAGACUUUUUCUAAAUUGGAUAAGUGCUCGUCAAAGGAUUUUGCAAAGAUAAUGAUAUCAUCCAGGGGGACGCGACGAAGAUGCUGACGAAUUGGUGGAGCGCAACCAGUAUUAAUCCAAUGCUCAGCUUCAUUGGUGAUGCCUAUAUCAGAUGAAUCUUUGGAAAAGGAGCUACGUGAUGAUUGCUGCAAUGGUUGUCCCUUAUUUAGGGUAUUUAUCAAGUGUUUGGUAGUUUUAUCCAAUGAUGUGAUUGAACCAUUCAAGAUUUUUCCGUUGAUCCAAAACGAAUACUUAGGAGGGUUGUGAGGGUAUGGAAAUCCGUUCUCUGGAUAGUAUUUAAUUCUGACAAGAUUGUCCUGGCGUUUCCAGACAAACUACUGGCUAGUUCCUGAGACAUCACCAUCAACUGAUUCUACCGAGGGCAUAUCCGGAUCAGUGUCUGGGAUAAUUUCGAACUCUGGGGACAAGGAUUUGGUGGCCAUUUUUAUAGAUGUAUUUAGAAUCUAUUACUACUAUUAUUAAUAUUAAUAAAGGAACCUAAUUCAUUUAUUUA